UACCCCGAUGCAUUUGUUUUGCUUUUCGUCAUACCUGGCUUGUGUGGAAUUACUUAAUAAUUUCAACAAUUUAAAAUUCCCAACGCGUUUUUUGCACUCUGCUUUCACGCACUUCGUUUGUUGUUUGUUUCGAGACCAAAUUUUCGGUGUUUUCAGUGGUCGGGUGCAUAAAUUUAAAAACCAAAGCCGGAGAAUUCAGUUUGGUUUUGGUUUUGGAAUCGUGUAAAUCGUUUAUUGUUGCCACGUCCGAUAAUUACAAACGUUGCAUUUGCAUUUUGUCGAUACGUUAACUUAGCUUUGCACUUCUUUCCAAUUGGAGUUGCACAGAGAAAUUACUAAUAAUUGAAAUGUGCCCCACGUAAAGUCCGUUCUUAUCCAAUAUCCGCUGGACACCCCCUUCUCCCAUCAAUUAAAACAACGAUGACAUCACGGGCGGCAAACAAUGAUGACACGCCAACGGAGGACUCUCAUUUCGCUUUUUUGUGGCUGUGCAAAUUGAAAUGCUUUCACAUACGCCAGACAGCAAUACACCCAUGGUCAUCACCAUAAAAAAGUGGAAAAGUGGAAAAUAUUCUUAUCAGCAGACGAGGGGCGGGCCGCUUUGCAUACAGUCAAACUUCUAAAACUACUACUAGCAUCUGCCAUACAAAAAAUGUUCCUAUCAUUUACAUAAAGACAUAUAUAUGUAUAUAAAAACACGUAUGCACUGAGUUAGAUAAAAAGUGAGUAAUUGAAUUUUCCAUUUUCAAGCUUAUGUAACUGCCUUAUUUCUAAUUCCGGUAUAAAAAUAUAUAUUCGAACACCAGGUCUAAAAAAACGUGAAUACCAUUUCUCGGAAUGAAGUUAUUUUCACAUAGAAAUGCGCAACAAGAGACGACAUCCACGUGUCCUAUUUGUUUACCAAAUGACAAUACAAAUGAUCUUAUAAAAAUAAUUUUGAUUAUUUAAAAUUAAAACUGAUUUAAAUUGGCCUCUUGAAGCUAUUUAGCAACAAGAAUAACUCUGCGAAAGUGAAAAAAGAGGUUUCUACGAAAAAUGCGUCUAGGGAGUGUUACCUAGAAAUUGUUUCAGUUUCAAGGAAGAUCCACUGUUUUAAAAUUCUGAGAAAUUUAAUCAAGUUGGGAGAAAUUCUACUAAAGCUUAGUUUCAAUGCGUGUUUUGUGUGUGUGUGUUUAAAAUAAUAAUGAUAAUUACUGGUUUAAAAAAAAAAAAUCACUUUAAUUUUCAGUUAUGUAAAAAGUUAGUUUUUAAAAAUAUUCUGAAUGUAUUUUUCGAGCAUUAAUUGGUUUGUUAAAAUCAAUUUUUUUUUACCCUCUACUAAUAUUUU
Drosophila elegans is the source of this 1327-nucleotide long non-coding RNA. RefSeq lists it as uncharacterized. The transcript has 3 exons. The record is from RefSeq and is a predicted model, not a curated record. Lineage: Eukaryota; Metazoa; Arthropoda; Insecta; Diptera; Drosophilidae.